GACGAACGCUGGCGGCGUGCUUAACACAUGCAAGUCGAACGGAAAGGCCCCUUCGGGGGUACUCGAGUGGCGAACGGGUGAGUAACACGUGAGUAACCUGCCCUUGACUUCGGGAUAACUUCAGGAAACUGGGGCUAAUACCGGAUAGGAAUCCUUGCUGCAUGGUGGGGGUUGGAAAGCUUCGGCGGUUUUGGAUGGACUCGCGGCUUAUCAGCUUGUUGGUGGGGUAGUGGCUUACCAAGGCUUUGACGGGUAGCCGGCCUGAGAGGGCGACCGGCCACAGUGGGACUGAGAUACGGCCCAGACUCCGACGGGAGGCAGCAGGGGGGAAUAUUGCACAAUGGGCGGAAGCCUGAUGCAGCAACGCCGCGUGCGGGAUGACGGCCUUCGGGUUGUAAACCGCUUUCAGCAGGGGCGAAGCUUGUGGUGACGGUACCUGCAGAAGAAGCACCGGCUAACUACGUG
This 465-nucleotide ribosomal RNA is filed under the name uncultured bacterium. RNAcentral's name for it is "partial 16S ribosomal RNA". It matches the Rfam family "Bacterial small subunit ribosomal RNA", at positions 28 to 507 of the family's 1533-position model. The record is from RNAcentral.